UAACUUUCUUCUCAUUCUAAAUAGGGAAAAGAAAUAUAGUUGGGUCUCUUCUCGGAUGCCUCCUUCCCUCCGUGUGUCCUGAAAGCAUAUCUGGCCCUUUCUCUCAUUAGUGGAAUUGCUCCUUCUUGGGGCAACGACCAAAGAUGUGAUUCCUUCGCUUCACCUCUCUGUUCAUUGCUUCCCCAGGUUCCCCAGCACGUUUAACGCACGGAGCUGAGAGGAGCAGCAGCGUGCAGGCUUCCCCGCCAGGCUGACUUGGUGCCCAGUCUGAAAAUUUGGACAACUGUAGCCCACCCUGAUCAAGAGCCAAAUAUAUGCCAGAACUUGUUUCAUGGAGAAGAUGAAAAGAAACUGAUUAACUUCUAACAAGACGGAUGAAAUGACUUUGUGUAAGACACAGAAACAUUGCACAGAUGCUGCCACCAAUUUUAUGCUCACAAGGAUAUUUUCAGAGGAAUUUGAGAGCAGUUGGAAUGGGGACCUUCUGAGAUUCCAGCAGCAGCAAGAAAGUGCUAUAUCCCAGUGGGGACAGUGGAGGAGGGAAGACGAGAAGAUGACCCAUCAGUGUAAAAUGCUUCUCUUUGUCAUUUGUCAAUGUCAAAGAAGUAAUGGCUGUGGAACUUGCUGGAAACAAUAACAACAAAUGGGCAAAAUAUUGAAACAGUGGUUUUCAAAUAUUAGGAAAAAAAUGCCUGUGAUUAUUGGAAGAAGGAUAACAAAUGAAGUUAUGCCUAUAAUUAUUCCCAGCUACUGCCUGGAAACAAUUUAUUGGAAGCAACGUAAAAUGGAAAACCUGGACUGAUAUCAAGAUCUUGCUGAACUGAGAAAAUAGAGAUAGGUGUUCCAGGAGGCAAAGAUGACUGUGCCAAAACACCAUAGAAAAUGGAGUGGCACAGAGAGACAGAUCGAAAUAUCUGUGAGAAUAAAAUGAAGCACCACAACCCAACACAUCCGAAUCCAACUCCUAAGAACCAAUAACAGAAGGGAAAAAAAAUCUAAACACAUUUUAACAGUGAAGUAUUUGAAUGGUUUCUGAGGACACAAUUGAGGCAAAAUUCUGGACUGACGGGUGGAAUCAUUCAGUCAUGGUGUAAAGCUUUGACCUCUACUUGGUUCUGUAUUAUGAAUCUGAAAAUCAAGAGGUUGAAGCAAGCAUGGCCCCAUCUACCAGCCCCAGCGAUCCAUUGGAGGAUUUGUGCCUUCCAUCAGUAAUGUCUGGGAUCUUCUUGGUUAAAAUGUAUAUUCAUGAGGAGGAUGUUUUCUUGAUGGUAGCAAGACAUGGAUAGAUAGCUUUGAACUAUAGUGCACAGAUAUGGCCUCAUCACUUUUGUCUGCUUGUUUCAAAGGUUCAAAAGGGAAG
This 1360-nucleotide long non-coding RNA is filed under the name Fukomys damarensis (Damara mole-rat). Its description in RNAcentral is "lncRNA (ENSFDAG00000027464.1)". Lineage: Eukaryota; Metazoa; Chordata; Mammalia; Rodentia; Bathyergidae. The record is from RNAcentral.